CCUACGGGAGGCAGCAGUAAGGAAUAUUGGUCAAUGGGCGCAAGCCUGAACCAGCCAUGCCGCGUGCAGGAAGACGGCCCUAUGGGUUGUAAACUGCUUUUGAACAAGAGAAAACCUCGGUACGUGUACCGAGCUGAUAGUAUUGUUAGAAUAAGCAUCGGCUAACUUCGUGCCAGCAGCCGCGGUAAGACGAAGGAUGCAAGCGUUAUCCGGAUUCAUUGGGUUUAAAGGGUGCGUAGGCGGCCUGAUAAGUCAGUGGUGAAAUCUCUCAGCUUAACUGAGAAACUGCCAUUGAUACUGUCGGGCUUGAGUACAGAUGAUGUGGGCGGAAUAUGACAUGUAGUGGUGAAAUACUUAGAUAUGUCAUAGAACACCGAUUGCGAAGGCAGCUCACAAAACUGUAACUGACGCUGAGGCACGAAAGUGGNGGAGUACAACAGAGUAGAUACCUACGUAGUCGCACCGUAACGAUAGAUACUCGUUGUUGUGAUAU
This 493-nucleotide ribosomal RNA is filed under the name uncultured bacterium. RNAcentral describes it as "bacterial SSU rRNA". It matches the Rfam family "Bacterial small subunit ribosomal RNA", at positions 338 to 831 of the family's 1533-position model. The record is from RNAcentral.